RNAcentral lists this ribosomal RNA (468 nucleotides) under uncultured bacterium. Its description in RNAcentral is "partial 16S ribosomal RNA". It matches the Rfam family "Bacterial small subunit ribosomal RNA", at positions 28 to 507 of the family's 1533-position model. The record is from RNAcentral.
GACGAACGCUGGCGGCGUGCUUAACACAUGCAAGUCGAACGGAAAGGCCCUUCCCUUGUGGGGUGCUCGGGUGGCGAACGGGUGAGUAACGCAAGAGUAACCUGCCCUUGCCUUUUGGAUUACUUCAGGGCACUGGGGCUAAUCCAGGAUAGGAGCUCCUGCUUCAUUGUGGGGGUUGGAAAGGGUCGGGGGUUGGGGCUGGUCUCGCGGCGUAUCAGCUUGUUGGUGGGGUUGGGGCUUACGAAGGCUUUGACGGGUGGCCGGCCUGAGAGGGUGAGAGGCCACGUUGGGACUGCGACACGGCCCAGACGCCUGGGGGAGGCAGCAGUGGGGGAUAGUGCACAAUGGGCGGAAGCCGUAUGCAGCAACGCCGCGUGCGGGAUGACGGCCUUCGGGUUGUAAACCGCUUUCGCCUGGGACGAGGCGGGAGUGACGGUAAUGGGUAAAGAAGCACCGGCUAACUACGUG